CUUCCUGAUCCGUAACCAGAUUUUUUAGAAGAUAUUCCGCGAGAGGCAACGUCGGCCGGGUUCUCGGCGGAACGUAUGUGUCGCCAAGUUGUUUCGGGUAGCGUUGUUUGAAUUUCUGAGACCCGAUUGGCGACGAAGGUCUUCCAUUUGGUAGGGUGCUGUUGCAGCCAGCUAAGAACAAUGGAAGAGUCCGACCAAAGAUGAAGAGAGCUUUUAGAAAUUGAAGCGGAUGGCUCCUGUUGCGGAUCGUCG
Molecule: long non-coding RNA, 252 nt
Organism: Osmia lignaria (orchard mason bee)
Lineage: Eukaryota; Metazoa; Arthropoda; Insecta; Hymenoptera; Megachilidae
Source: RefSeq, a predicted model, not a curated record